Molecule: transfer RNA, 77 nt
Filed under: Alphaproteobacteria bacterium
Lineage: Bacteria; Pseudomonadati; Pseudomonadota; Alphaproteobacteria
Description: tRNA-Pro
Rfam family: tRNA
About the family: Transfer RNA (tRNA) molecules are approximately 80 nucleotides in length. Their secondary structure includes four short double-helical elements and three loops (D, anti-codon, and T loops). Further hydrogen bonds mediate the characteristic L-shaped molecular structure. tRNAs have two regions of fundamental functional importance: the anti-codon, which is responsible for specific mRNA codon recognition, and the 3' end, to which the tRNAs corresponding amino acid is attached (by aminoacyl-tRNA synthetases). tRNAs cope with the degeneracy of the genetic code in two manners: having more than one tRNA (with a specific anti-codon) for a particular amino acid; and 'wobble' base-pairing, i.e. permitting non-standard base-pairing at the 3rd anti-codon position.
Source: RNAcentral
CGGAGCGUAGCGCAGCCUGGUAGCGCAUCAGACUGGGGGUCUGAGGGUCGCAGGUUCAAAUCCUGUCGCUCCGACCA